UCGAGAGGCUUUGUCAAUGGGGGAAACCCUGAACAAGCGACGCCGCGUGAGGGAUGAAGGCCCUUGGGUUGUAAACCUCUUUUGUUGGGGAGGAAAUGCGAUCAGGUGAACAAUCUGGUCGUUUGACGGUACCCGACGAAUAAGCUCCGGCUAACUCCGUGCCAGCAGCCGCGGUAAUACGGGGGGAGCAAGCGUUGUUCGGAAUCACUGGGCGUAAAGGGCGUGUAGGCGGUCAGGUAAGUGGAAUGUGAAAUGCCUCGGCUCACCCGAGGACGUGCAUCCCAUACUGCUUGGCUUGAGUACGGGAGAGGAUGGGGGAAUUCCUGGUGUAGCGGUGAAAUGCGUAGAUAUCAGGAGGAACACCUGUGGCGAAGACGCCCAUCUGGCCCGAUACUGACGCUGAGGCGCGAAAGCUAGGGGAGCGAACGGGAUUAGAUACCCGCGUAGUCC
This 450-nucleotide ribosomal RNA is filed under the name uncultured prokaryote. Its description in RNAcentral is "bacterial SSU rRNA". It matches the Rfam family "Bacterial small subunit ribosomal RNA", at positions 355 to 796 of the family's 1533-position model. The record is from RNAcentral.